This 253-nucleotide ribosomal RNA is filed under the name uncultured bacterium. RNAcentral's name for it is "partial 16S ribosomal RNA". It matches the Rfam family "Bacterial small subunit ribosomal RNA", at positions 524 to 776 of the family's 1533-position model. The record is from RNAcentral.
UACGAAGGGUGCAAACGUUGCUCGGAAUUAUUGGGCGUAAAGCGCACGUAGGCGGCUUUGCAAGUCGGAUGUGAAACCCCUCGGCUUAACCAAGGAAGUGCAUCCGAAACUGCAGAGCUUGAGUACUUAAGAGGAUCGCGGAAUUCCCGGUGUAGAGGUGAAAUUCGUAGAUAUCGGGAGGAACACCAGUGGCGAAGGCGGCGAUCUGGGAAGAUACUGACGCUGAGGUGCGAAAGCGUGGGGAGCAAACAGG